Molecule: ribosomal RNA, 739 nt
Filed under: Protosternum sp. SLE0297
Lineage: Eukaryota; Metazoa; Arthropoda; Insecta; Coleoptera; Hydrophilidae
Description: SSU rRNA
Rfam family: Eukaryotic small subunit ribosomal RNA
Source: RNAcentral
GCAGGCGCGCAAAUUACCCACUCCCGGCACGGGGAGGUAGUGACGAAAAAUAACGAUACGGGACUCAUCCGAGGCCCCGUAAUCGGAAUGAGUACACUCUAAACCCUUUAACGAGGAUCAAUUGGAGGGCAAGUCUGGUGCCAGCAGCCGCGGUAAUUCCAGCUCCAAUAGCGUAUAUUAAAGUUGUUGCGGUUAAAAAGCUCGUAGUCGAAUCUGUGUCUCGCGCCGCCGGUUCAUCGCUCGCGGUGUCUAACUGGCGUGUCGCGGGACGUCCUGCCGGUGGGCUUAGCUCCGCGAGGGGCGGCCCAACCCAAACAUCCCGCCGCGGUGCUCUUCGCUGAGUGUCGAGGCGGGCCGGCACGUUUACUUUGAACAAAUUAGAGUGCUUAAAGCAGGCUAAAACUUCGCCUGAAUAUUCUGUGCAUGGAAUAAUGGAAUAGGACCUCGGUUCUAUUUUGUUGGUUUUCGGAACCCCGAGGUAAUGAUUAAUAGGAACGGAUGGGGGCAUUCGUAUUGCGACGUUAGAGGUGAAAUUCUUGGAUCGUCGCAAGACGGACGGAAGCGAAAGCAUUUGCCAAAAACGUUUUCAUUGAUCAAGAACGAAAGUUAGAGGUUCGAAGGCGAUCAGAUACCGCCCUAGUUCUAACCAUAAACGAUGCCAGCUAGCGAUCCGCCGACGUUCCUCCGAUGACUCGGCGGGCAGCUUCCGGGAAACCAAAGCUUUUGGGUUCCGGGGGAA